This 517-nucleotide ribosomal RNA is filed under the name uncultured bacterium. RNAcentral describes it as "bacterial SSU rRNA". It matches the Rfam family "Bacterial small subunit ribosomal RNA", at positions 501 to 1016 of the family's 1533-position model. The record is from RNAcentral.
CUACGUGCCAGCAGCCGCGGUAAUACGUAGGUGGCAAGCGUUGUCCGGAAUUAUUGGGCGUAAAGCGAGCGCAGGCGGUUAGAUAAGUCUGAAGUUAAAGGCUGUGGCUUAACCAUAGUACGCUUUGGAAACUGUUUAACUUGAGUGCAAGAGGGGAGAGUGGAAUUCCAUGUGUAGCGGUGAAAUGCGUAGAUAUAUGGAGGAACACCGGUGGCGAAAGCGGCUCUCUGGCUUGUAACUGACGCUGAGGCUCGAAAGCGUGGGGAGCAAACAGGAUUAGAUACCCUGGUAGUCCACGCCGUAAACGAUGAGUGCUAGGUGUUAGACCCUUUCCGGGGUUUAGUGCCGUAGCUAACGCAUUAAGCACUCCGCCUGGGGAGUACGACCGCAAGGUUGAAACUCAAAGGAAUUGACGGGGGCCCGCACAAGCGGUGGAACAUGUGGUUUAAUUCGAAGCAACGCGAAGAACCUUACCAGGUCUUGACAUCCCUCUGACCGCUCUAGAGAUAGAGUUUUC